Oryza glumipatula is the source of this 170-nucleotide non-coding RNA. Lineage: Eukaryota; Viridiplantae; Streptophyta; Magnoliopsida; Poales; Poaceae. The record is from Rfam.
UUUAAGCACAACCAUAAGUUUCCGUGUCAACUUUGAUCAUCCGUUUUCUUUGAAUUUUUUUAUGAUUAGUAUUUUUAUAAAUAGUAUUUUAUGCGUGACUUAUGUUUUUAAUUUUUUUAGAUAAGACAGAUGAUUAAAGUUGGACACGGAGACUCAUUGCUGCUCUUAAA